GUUUUUAUAGUUUAAAAAAAAUAUUGGUCUUGUAAACCAAAGUUAAAUUUUAUUUUAAAAACU
RNAcentral lists this transfer RNA (63 nucleotides) under Earias clorana. RNAcentral's name for it is "tRNA-Thr". It matches the Rfam family "tRNA". Rfam says of the family: Transfer RNA (tRNA) molecules are approximately 80 nucleotides in length. Their secondary structure includes four short double-helical elements and three loops (D, anti-codon, and T loops). Lineage: Eukaryota; Metazoa; Arthropoda; Insecta; Lepidoptera; Nolidae. The record is from RNAcentral.